UGCCAGACUCCUACGGGAGGCAGCAGUGGGGGAUAUUGCACAAUGGGGGGAACCCUGAUGCAGCGACGCCGCGUGGGUGAAGGAGUAUUUCGGUAUGUAAAGCCCUAUCGGCAGGGAAGAAGCAAGACGGUACCUGACUAAGAAGCCCCGGCUAACUACGUGCCAGCAGCCGCGGUAAUACGUAGGGGGCGAGCGUUAUCCGGAUUCACUGGGUGUAAAGGGAGCGUAGACGGCGACGCAAGUCUGGAGUGAAAGCCCGGGGCCCAACCCCGGGACUGCUCUGGAAACUGCGGCGCUGGAGUACGGGAGGGGCAGGCGGAAUUCCUGGUGUAGCGGUGAAAUGCGUAGAUAUCAGGAGGAACACCGGCGGCGAAGGCGGCCUGCUGGACCGUGACUGACGUUGAGGCUCGAGAGCGUGGGGAGCAAACAGGAUUAGAUACCCGAGUA
Molecule: ribosomal RNA, 447 nt
Filed under: uncultured bacterium
Lineage: Bacteria
Description: partial 16S ribosomal RNA
Rfam family: Bacterial small subunit ribosomal RNA
Source: RNAcentral